AAGUAAAAGUCUUGGAACACGGUCAACGCACAGUUAAGUACGUGAGCACGAAUCCCAAGAAAAAGCCAAGGAUGUUUUCAUUGAUCAAGAACGAAAGUUAGGGGAUCGAAGACGAUCAGAUACCGUCCUAGUCUUAACCAUAAACUAUGCCAACUGGAAAUUGGAAUAUAUGGAGAGAAAAUAUAUUCAGUAUUGUGCCUGAAAAGAGUAAGUGUGUGGGCUCCGGGGGGAGUAUAGUUGCAAGACUGAAACUUAAAGGAAUUGACGGAAGGGCACCACCAGGAGUGGAGCCUGCGGCUUAAUUUGACUCAACACGGGAAAUCUCACCAAGUCCAGACAUACGCAGGAUUGACAGAUUAAUUGCUCUUUCUCGAUUGUAUGGGUGGUGGUGCAUGGCCGUUCUUAGUUGGUGGAGUGAUUUGUCUGGUUAAUUCCGUUAACGAACGAGACCUUAACCUGCUAAAUAGUUACACGUAA
This 477-nucleotide ribosomal RNA is filed under the name Perkinsus marinus. RNAcentral describes it as "partial Eukaryotic small subunit ribosomal RNA". It matches the Rfam family "Eukaryotic small subunit ribosomal RNA", at positions 909 to 1368 of the family's 1831-position model. The record is from RNAcentral. Lineage: Eukaryota; Perkinsozoa; Perkinsida; Perkinsidae.